UACGUAGGGAGCAAGCGUUGUCCGGAAUUACUGGGUGUAAAGGGAGCGUAGGCGGGAUGGCAAGUUGGGUGUUAAAUCUACCGGCUCAACUGGUAGUCGCACUCAAAACUGCUAUUCUUGAGUGAAGUAGAGGCAGGCGGAAUUCCUAGUGUAGCGGUGAAAUGCGUAAAUAUUAGGAGGAACACCAGUGGCGAAGGCGGCCUGCUGGGCUUUUACUGACGCUGAGGCUCGAAAGUGUGGGGAGCAAACAGG
Molecule: ribosomal RNA, 252 nt
Filed under: uncultured bacterium
Lineage: Bacteria
Description: partial 16S ribosomal RNA
Rfam family: Bacterial small subunit ribosomal RNA
Source: RNAcentral